This 429-nucleotide ribosomal RNA is filed under the name uncultured archaeon. RNAcentral describes it as "bacterial SSU rRNA". It matches the Rfam family "Archaeal small subunit ribosomal RNA", at positions 474 to 903 of the family's 1478-position model. The record is from RNAcentral.
UACCAGCUCUCCGAGUGGUAGGGAUGAUUAUUGGGCUUAAAGCGUCCGUAGCCGGCUUAGCAAGUCUCCUGUUAAAUUCAGCGACCUAAUCGUUGAGCCGCGGGAGACACUACUAGGCUAGGAGGCGGGAGAGGCCGACGGUAUUCUCGGGGUAGGGGUGAAAUCCUAUAAUCCCGGGAGGACCACCAGUGGCGAAGGCUGUCGGCUAGAACGCGCUCGACGGUGAGGGACGAAAGCUGGGGGAGCGAACCGGAUUAGAUACCCGGGUAGUCCCAGCUGUAAACGAUGCGGACUAGGUGUUGGGGUGGCUACGAGCCACUUCAGUGCCGCAGGGAAGCCAUUAAGCCCGCCGCCUGGGGAGUACGGCCGCAAGGCUGAAACUUAAAGGAAUUGGCGGGGGAGCACCACAAGGCGUGAAGCUUGCGGUUC